Molecule: ribosomal RNA, 1499 nt
Filed under: uncultured bacterium
Lineage: Bacteria
Description: bacterial SSU rRNA
Rfam family: Bacterial small subunit ribosomal RNA
Source: RNAcentral
UGGUUUGAUCCUGGCUCAGGAUGAACGCUGGCGGCAUGCCUAAUACAUGCAAGUCGAACGGAGUGAAGCCUUCGGGUUUCAUUCAGUGGCGAACGGGUGAGUAAUACGCAGGGAACCUGGCCAUGGCAGGGGGAUACACUCUGGAAACGGAGCAUAAGACCCCAUAGGCAGUAAGGCGGCAUCGCCUUGCUGUUAAAGAAAGCUGAAAGGCUUUGGCGAUGGAUGGACCUGCGGUGCAUUAGCUUGUUGGUGAGGCAACGGCUUACCAAGGCGAUGAUGCAUAGCCGGCCUGAGAGGGCGGACGGCCACACUGGGACUGAGACACGGCCCAGACUCCUGCGGGAGGCAGCAGUAGGGAAUUUUCGUCAAUGGGCGCAAGCCUGAACGAGCAAUGCCGCGUGAGUGAGGAAGGUCUUCGGACUGUAAAGCUCUGUUGCCGGGGAAAAAGGGGAAAUGCAGGAAAUGGCAUUUCAUGGAUGGUACCCGGCCAGAAAGCCACGGCUAACUACGUGCCAGCAGCCGCGGUAAUACGUAGGUGGCGAGCGUUAUCCGGAAUGAUUGGGCGUAAAGGGUGCGCAGGCGGUCUGUUAAGUCUGAAGGCAAAGGGAUGAGCUCAACUCAUUUAUGAUUCAGAAACUGGCAGACUUGAGGACAGGAGAGGGCGGUGGAACUCCAUGUGUAGCGGUAAAAUGCGCAGAGAUAUGGAAGAACACCAGUGGCGAAGGCGGCCGCCUGGCCUGUGACUGACGCUGAGGCACGAAAGCGUGGGGAGCAAAUAGGAUUAGAUACCCUAGUAGUCCACGCCGUAAACGAUGAGGAGCAGGUGUUGGGAGUGAAAUCUCAGUGCCGAAGCCAACGCAGUGACUCCUCCGCCUGGGGAGUAUGCACGCAAGUGUGAAACUCAAAGGAAUUGACGGGGGCCCGCACAAGCGGUGGAGUAUGUGGUUUAAUUCGAAGCAACGCGAAGAACCUUACCAGGUUUUGACAUCGGAUGCGAAGGCGCAGAGAUGCGCUGGAGGCUAUCAUCCAGACAGGUGGUGCAUGGUUGUCGUCAGCUCGUGUCGUGAGAUGUUCAGUUAAGUCUGGCAACGAGCGCAACCCCCGUGGUAUGUUACUAACGCAUUUGGGCGAGGACUCAUAUCAGACUGCCGGUGACAAACCGGAGGAAGGCGGGGAUGACGUCAAAUCAUCAUGCCCCUUAUGGCCUGGGCUACACACGUACUACAAUGGCGUCUACAGAGGGAAGCGACCCUGAGAAGGGAAGCGAAACCGGAAAAGGGCGUCCCAGUUCGGAUUGAAGUCUGCAACCCGACUUCAUGAAGAUGGAAUCGCUAGUAAUCGCGGAUCAGCAUGCCGCGGUGAAUACGUUCCCGGGCCUUGUACACACCGCCCGUCAAACCAUGGAAGCCGGCAACGCCCGAAGCCGGUGGCAUAACCUUUUAGGAGUGAGCCGUCGAAGGCGGGGCCGAUGACUGGGGUUAAGUCGUAACAAGGUAUCC